This is a long non-coding RNA of Acyrthosiphon pisum (pea aphid), 784 nucleotides long. RefSeq lists it as uncharacterized. The record is from RefSeq and is a predicted model, not a curated record. NCBI's taxonomy places the organism in Eukaryota, Metazoa, Arthropoda, Insecta, Hemiptera, Aphididae. The transcript has 3 exons.
GAAAAAAUGUAAGAUACUUGAGUAUAUACUUAGGUACAUAAUAAGUAAAUAAUUAUAUAUGUAAGAAAUUAAUACAAGCUUUUAGCUAUUGGCUUCAAUUAGGUAUAGCUGGUGUACAAUAUUGAACUGUUGUUGUUAAUGUUGGCUAUAAUUGUAACUUAAAGAAAACAUUUUAAACCAUAAAUGGUAAAUAAUAGGACGUUUUUAAAAUAUGUUGCUAUACACUAUGUAUGAAUAAAUUAUUUGAUUGUAUUUUCAAAAUUAAUUUUAGAAUGGUUGUUUUAGUUAAAUGUGGACUGUUGUUUGCUUCGAAGACAACAGUAUAGCAGCUGUACCUCAAUUUUGGUUUGAGAGAGGAGUAUGCGCAUGGCUCAAAAAAUCACCAAGAAAAUGUAUAGAGCGACGCAUAAAACCAAACAAAGUGGAUUUUCAAUACUUAAAAUCAAAAAUUAUUAAAAAUAACAUAAUCUAAUUGAUGCCCGUUCGUUUGCUAAAGAUAAUUCCGAGGUUUCUUCAAAUGAAAAUUAUGUGUUUGAAGAAUAUAAAAAAAAUCGAAACAAAAGUAUUCAACGGUCAAGUGCUGGUUCAUCUAAGGAAUUCAUUGUUCCUAAACUUCCAACGGUUUCUUCUGAUGAAUCUGAAGAUGAAGAAAAUCCACGCAAUUCAUGUUAUCCAGAUGCAUCAUCAUUAUCCCAAACUGAUGAACUAUUCGCCAAUAAUAGUCCAUCAAACUCUGUUGAAUCUAACACUAGUAAAAAAAAUAUUUCGAGAUCAAAUUCAGAAA